This 107-nucleotide small nucleolar RNA is filed under the name Gossypium hirsutum (cotton). RNAcentral describes it as "Plant small nucleolar RNA R71". It matches the Rfam family "Plant small nucleolar RNA R71". Rfam says of the family: R71 is a member of the C/D box family of snoRNAs containing the C (UGAUGA) and D (CUGA) box motifs. Multiple nearly identical copies of this snoRNA have been identified in Arabidopsis, and it is thought to function as a 2'-O-ribose methylation guide for 18S ribosomal RNA. Lineage: Eukaryota; Viridiplantae; Streptophyta; Magnoliopsida; Malvales; Malvaceae. RNAcentral also lists the same sequence under 1 other name. The record is from Rfam by way of RNAcentral.
AACCCAUGGUGAGGACACAUUCUCAAUAAGCCCUUGUAUCUCUCUCAUGCAUCAUAUAAAGUCUUUAAAUCGGUCUGGACAAAAGAAGAGAUGUCAUUCGUCAACUU